UUACCUGUGUGACUGCGUACCUUUUGUAUAAUGGGUCAGCGACUUAUAUUCUGUAGCAAGGUUAACCGUAUAGGGGAGCCGGAGGGAAACCGAGUCUUAAUUGGGCGUUAAGUUGCAGGGUAUAGACCCGAAACCCGGUGAUCUAGCCAUGGGCAGGUUGAAGGUUGGGUAACACUAACUGGAGGACCGAACCGACUAAUGU
This 202-nucleotide ribosomal RNA is filed under the name Salmonella enterica subsp. enterica serovar Infantis. RNAcentral describes it as "partial 23S ribosomal RNA". It matches the Rfam family "Bacterial large subunit ribosomal RNA", at positions 585 to 789 of the family's 2925-position model. Lineage: Bacteria; Pseudomonadati; Pseudomonadota; Gammaproteobacteria; Enterobacterales; Enterobacteriaceae. The record is from RNAcentral.